Long non-coding RNA from Alnus glutinosa, 542 nucleotides. RefSeq lists it as uncharacterized. Lineage: Eukaryota; Viridiplantae; Streptophyta; Magnoliopsida; Fagales; Betulaceae. The transcript is spliced from 5 exons. The record is from RefSeq and is a predicted model, not a curated record.
CUAAUCAUGAGCUGUUGUUUUCCAUUUCAACUCCCAAGAAGAGGCAGUGAGUGCCAUCUACAUACAAUCAGUUUAUAAAGUAACAAAUUUGCCAUUGAUUCUUUUGGAGAGGAGAUCUAAAGGAUCAAGGCCAAUAAUUCGAAUAUUAGCCAUAGGGAAGCAUUUAUUACUGCUGCCAAAAAUAGAUCAACAAAUAGAAGAAAUGCAAAAUGAGUCAAAUCGACGUAUCGAUGAGAUUCAAAAAGAAGCAAACCGACAUGUUGAGGAGAUUCAGAAAGAAUCAAAGCGCCAAUAUGAUCUUUUAUUGUCACGUAUUUUAGGAGCACAAGGUCAUAAUUUUGCUCAAUUUGAUGGGCAAGGUUAAAGAGAUUCGAUUCGAAAACUUCACGUCUUUUGUGCUAUAGAGUAUGGGGAAUCUACCACCGUCGACACUCUUGUGGCUUAUGUUAAAUUAUAGUUGCAUUAAUUAAAUUUUGGAUACACUUAAUGUUUUAUCAGAUUUUUGGAUGCACCAAAUGUUCUAGAUGUAAUUUGACGAGGAA